ACAUGAGUAGCGACAAAGAGUGUGAGAGACACUCUCGCCGAAAGUCCAAGGGUUCCUGCUUAAAGCUAAUCUGAGCAGGGUAAGCCGACCCCUAAGGCGAGGCCGAAAGGCGUAGUCGAUGGGAAACAGGUCAAUAUUCCUGUACUUAAUUUUUAUAACACCGGGGGACGAAGCCGUUUGAAACGCAGUUGGCGAAGAAAGACUGAAUUACGUUGAGGCUUCCAAGAAAAGCCCGUUCUGUUAUCAAUAAAAAUUAACCUGUACCACAAACUGACACAA
Molecule: ribosomal RNA, 279 nt
Filed under: Chloropicon laureae
Lineage: Eukaryota; Viridiplantae; Chlorophyta; Chloropicophyceae; Chloropicales; Chloropicaceae
Description: partial Bacterial large subunit ribosomal RNA
Rfam family: Bacterial large subunit ribosomal RNA
Source: RNAcentral